GCCCCCAUAGCCCAAUUGGCAGAGGCAACGGACUUAAAAUCCGUCAAGUGUCGGUUCAAGUCCGACUGGGGGCA
RNAcentral lists this transfer RNA (74 nucleotides) under Nocardia globerula. RNAcentral's name for it is "tRNA-Leu". It matches the Rfam family "tRNA". From Rfam's summary of the family: Transfer RNA (tRNA) molecules are approximately 80 nucleotides in length. Their secondary structure includes four short double-helical elements and three loops (D, anti-codon, and T loops). Lineage: Bacteria; Bacillati; Actinomycetota; Actinomycetes; Mycobacteriales; Nocardiaceae. RNAcentral also lists the same sequence under 2 other names. The record is from RNAcentral.